Molecule: small RNA, 147 nt
Filed under: Marmota monax (woodchuck)
Lineage: Eukaryota; Metazoa; Chordata; Mammalia; Rodentia; Sciuridae
Source: RNAcentral
GUCAGGUGUGGUGGCGCACACCUGUAAUCCCAGAGGCUCAGGAGGCUGAGGCAGGAGGAUCGUGAGUUCAAAGUCAGCCUCAGCAAAUUAGUGAGACCCUAAGCAACUUAGAAAGGCCCUAAGCAACUCAAUGAGACCCUGUCUCUA